Molecule: ribosomal RNA, 524 nt
Filed under: uncultured bacterium
Lineage: Bacteria
Description: bacterial SSU rRNA
Rfam family: Bacterial small subunit ribosomal RNA
Source: RNAcentral
UGGGGAAUAUUGGACAAUGGGCGAAAGCCUGAUCCAGCAAUGCCGCGUGAGUGAUGAAGGCCUUAGGGUUGUAAAGCUCUUUUACCCGGGAUGAUAAUGACAGUACCGGGAGAAUAAGCUCCGGCUAACUCCGUGCCAGCAGCCGCGGUAAUACGGAGGGAGCUAGCGUUAUUCGGAAUUACUGGGCGUAAAGCGCACGUAGGCGGCUUUGUAAGUUAGAGGUGAAAGCCUGGAGCUCAACUCCAGAAUUGCCUUUAAGACUGCAUCGCUUGAAUCCAGGAGAGGUGAGUGGAAUUCCGAGUGUAGAGGUGAAAUUCGUAGAUAUUCGGAAGAACACCAGUGGCGAAGGCGGCUCACUGGACUGGUAUUGACGCUGAGGUGCGAAAGUGUGGGGAGCAAACAGGAUUAGAUACCCUGGUAGUCCACGCCGUAAACUAUGCGUGUUGGACGUUGGCGAGCCUAGCUCGUCGGUGUCGCAGCUAACGCGUUAAACACGCCGCCUGGGGAGUACGGCCGCAAGGUUA